This is a long non-coding RNA of Stegodyphus dumicola, 449 nucleotides long. Lineage: Eukaryota; Metazoa; Arthropoda; Arachnida; Araneae; Eresidae. The record is from RefSeq and is a predicted model, not a curated record.
AUUUUUAAGCUGUUUCAUAACAUAAAUGAAAGAAAUGAAACCAGCGAUGUCAUUCUGAAUCAAGUCAAAGAGAAAAUAAAAAUAUUACGCAAAGAGCUGACAGAAUUGCUUGAAAUGAUGAAGCAGGAAAUUAAAAAAAAAGGAGCUUCUGGUUAUAAAAAUUUGGAUGUUUUAAACUUGUUAGCUUCAGGAGAAGAAUCUUCUGACAAAUCAGACGAAGAAGAAGACCCUAAGUUGAAGAUGAAGCCAAUAGUUGUUCUAAAAAGACUGACUGAGAAUGAUAUAGUGAACUUAAAAAAUAACAAGAAAAGAGCAAGAAAAGAAUAGCGGAUUUGGUGAAAAAUGUUUGAAGAUUUGAAUACCAUGUUUGAAGAUUUGAAUACCAUAAAACUGUAAUUGUACUAUUUCUGUAAGCUCAAUGUAAAAUCAAUAAAGCUCAAUGUUUGUAA